GUGGGGAAUUUUGGACAAUGGGCGCAAGCCUGAUCCAGCAAUGCCGCGUGCAGGAUGAAGGCCUUCGGGUUGUAAACUGCUUUUGUACGGAGCGAAACGGCCUUUUCUAAUACAAAAGGCUAAUGACGGUACCGUAAGAAUAAGCACCGGCUAACUACGUGCCAGCAGCCGCGGUAAUACGUAGGGUGCGAGCGUUAAUCGGAAUUACUGGGCGUAAAGCGUGCGCAGGCGGUUUUGUAAGACAGAUGUGAAAUCCCCGGGCUCAACCUGGGACCUGCAUUUGUGACUGCAAGGCUAGAGUACGGUAGAGGGGGAUGGAAUUCCGCGUGUAGCAGUGAAAUGCGUAGAUAUGCGGAGGAACACCGAUGGCGAAGGCAAUCCCCUGGACCUGUACUGACGCUCAUGCACGAAAGCGUGGGGAGCAAACAGGAUUAGAUACCCGAGUAGUCC
RNAcentral lists this ribosomal RNA (450 nucleotides) under uncultured bacterium. Its description in RNAcentral is "bacterial SSU rRNA". It matches the Rfam family "Bacterial small subunit ribosomal RNA", at positions 354 to 796 of the family's 1533-position model. The record is from RNAcentral.